GUACUUCUCAUAUCCACCAAGUAAAAUGGGGAACCCCCGAUAAAGGACACUAAAUACUCAGGGCGACACAGGAGGUGGAGCCACAGGGCCAGGUGCUGCUCCAGAGCUGAGAAUCUGCGCCAUGGAACGCCGAGGAUUCACUCGCUGAGCCUCGCACAGAUCCGGCAGGAAAACACCUGCAACGUUGUCAAAACAUGAGGUUUUGCCCAAGGAAAUGAUCGUUGACAUGCCAUCAGGGUCACGUAGACUUAUCAUACCUUCUCCGGCAGCGAGAUUGAAGUAGAGGUCGACGAUGUUGGGGCAGUUGCGAUAGCACGGUUGAGAGCAGAGCUUCUGGGCGAAGUCGGACUCCAUGAGGGAGUCGGAGGAGAUGCCGACGGAGUCGCGGCUGACGCCGCAGGCCCGCACGCACUCGUCCGUCUCGAUCCAGUCCGACAUCCGCUCCACCACAGCCUCCGACGUCCUGCACUGGUACUCGGUGCGCCCACCCUGGUUCUGGGUGCUGUCCAGCAGGCACCGCUUGGACGUGGAGGAGAUGGCGAAGGCGCACAGCUCCUGCGGCAGCUCCUCGCAGAUCACUCCCGCUGAAAGGAACACCGACGUCGUCAACUCGUUCCUGAUCGAAGGAAGCAGACAUGCAAGAGACAAAUAGAAGGAAGGGGA
Molecule: long non-coding RNA, 663 nt
Filed under: Musa acuminata (dwarf banana)
Lineage: Eukaryota; Viridiplantae; Streptophyta; Magnoliopsida; Zingiberales; Musaceae
Description: long non-coding RNA (MACU_LNC010760)
Source: RNAcentral